Cordylochernes scorpioides is the source of this 72-nucleotide non-coding RNA. NCBI's taxonomy places the organism in Eukaryota, Metazoa, Arthropoda, Arachnida, Pseudoscorpiones, Chernetidae. The record is from the annotation of a GenBank genome assembly.
UGCAUCGGCCAGGAAUCGAAACCCGGGCCACCCGCGUGGCUGGCGAGCAUUCUACCACUAAACCACCGAUGG